UUUUUUUUUUUCCUCUCUCCUCUGAGAACACAUUGCAUAGUUACUGUCAAACACAGAUAGUCCCAUUAGCAGGAGAAGCAAUUCCUCUGACUUUCUGUCUUUUAAAUGAAGAAGACCUGCCUUUUUGGACACUGACCACCCAGGUCAUGAAAGUUUCAUGAGGGGUUCUCGAAGCAGAUGACACCUUUUCAAUUAUAACCACUGCUAUAAUAAACCCCCACAGAGCCACAGGGCAUGGAGUCUACAUCCAACACAUGACACCUAUUUAUUCCCUAAUUACAUUGCAAUAUAUUCUCUCUGUGUGUGUGCUGAUGAAGAUAAAAUAUUCUUUUAAUUCUAUGGCCUCCUGGGGGGUCCGGGGGAGGGGAUUAUGCAUAGGCAAAUUCUGGGAGUUCCUAGAGCUAAAUCAUAGCCUUUGUCCCAGGCUCCUCCACUGCAUAACCUCAAGAAAACCUCUCACUUUCCCUUGUUCUACCACAGUGGUUCUCAAAGUGUGGUCCUGGACCAAGAGCAUCAGCAUCGCCUGGGAACUCGUUACAGAUUCUAAUUACUGGACCCGCCCUGGACCCACUGGAUCAGAAACUUCAGGGCAAUCUGUGUUUAAACAAGCCUCCUGUAGUGAAGUCUAAGAACCGCCAGUCUACAAAAUGGGAAGGAAAGAGCAUUAUUUUAAAUCGAAUCAGAGAUCAGGAAUACCUGGAUUCUACAGUACUGGGCUCCCUUCUGCAUAGCUGUCCCAAUCUGCAGAGUCAGGGCUCCAUUUACCCAUCUGUACAAUGGGGCUACGGAGUUCAAGUAGCUGUGGAUGCUGGAAUUUAAGAGGUACACGGUUACCUGGUACCAGUCUCUAUGGAUACCUAGCAAGACCACAGUUGCCAGCACUCACCAGCUCCCUCCCCCUGUGCUCGGGCGGCAGGAGCUCUGCAGAGCCGUUUGUUCCCCAAUGCCAUAUCUAAGGUCCUCAAUGCAGCUGCCUCUGGGUUACCCUUGGCAACCAGGAGCCGGGGUCAUGGAAGACCACAGAAUCUCCAAAUCUCAUAGCCAACAGCUUCCAGCCUUUCACCUCAGAGCCUUGAACCACUGGAGAGGCUCAGAAUUCUCUGUCACAUUGUCCCAUUUCUUCAGACAUCUUUUGUGUAUUUGCCUCCAUUCCGCAAUGACACUUUACCUCAUGGAGAACUGGAACCUAGAACGUCAGCAUCAUGAGGUCUGGGACUCAGCCUGUCUGGUUCAUCGGUGUAUCGCUUAGACCAGUGCCUGGCAAAAAGGAGGAGCUUAAAAACUAUCUGUUGACCAAAUAUCCCUGGCACGGCGAACACCCUGCCCAUAGUAGGUCCAGUAGUAUGUUCCACACCCUCAAGUAUCUAAAUUCUAAAAGUUACAGAUGGGAAGAGGCAAAGGAACUAUUUGAAAGCUAGGCAACAAGUAGAAAAGGGUAAAAGAGAAGCAAAAGGCUGACUAUAGCCCUUGCCUCAUGGGGUGCUGACUUCCCAGCCAAUUGCUCACCCUAGACCUUGCACUAGAAGACUCUAGGGACACAUUCUGAAUUCGCUGUCUGAGGAGCUGGCUCUUCCAACCGUCCUAGUGCUUUUCUCUCAAAAGCCAAAUUCUCAUCCACCCUGACUCCACUGUCCUUUGACCAGUCACUGAACAAGUCAUGAGCUUUCCUGCCCCUCUCUUUGUGCCCCAGCCUUGUGCCCCACAAUCUUCCUCCCCGCACUGGAAUCUACCCAGGGCUCCAUUCCAAAUCCUCCCUUCUCCGGAGACUUAUCCAUCACUCUGCCCCCCUCCCAGAGGGAUUUCACCUGAGAUCGCCAAGCUUCCGUGGCUAAAAGACAAUGACUGCUCUCCCCGUGGGUUGCACUUUAUGGGGCUGGCUCAGGUCUAAGGGCCCCCUUCACCCGCAGACUUCAGUGCAGGCACAGGAUAGGUAUGCAACAAACUGUCGCCUCAGUGAUGUGUCCUGGGAGGUGAUCCCAGCACAGCAGCUACCAAGAGACCCUUCCUCUGCAGUCCUCUGCCUCUAAACUCAGGCCCAGUCCUCCACGCCGUGUCCUGCCAGAAAGCACCUGCCCCAUGCUAAAAAAGUGAUGAUGCCGGCAUAGAGUAUUGGGGGGAAAAAAAUAAAACAAAACCAAAAAAAAAAA
This 2147-nucleotide long non-coding RNA is filed under the name Canis lupus familiaris (dog). Its description in RNAcentral is "lncRNA (ENSCAFG00000052649.1, ENSCAFG00845015008.1)". Lineage: Eukaryota; Metazoa; Chordata; Mammalia; Carnivora; Canidae. The record is from RNAcentral.